AUUGAACGCUGGCGGCAGGCCUAACACAUGCAAGUCGAGCGGAUGAAGGGAGCUUGCUCCUGGAUUCAGCGGCGGACUGGUGAGUAAUGCUUAGGAAUCUGCCUGGUAGUGGGGGCUAACGUCCGGAGCCGGGCGCUCCUACCGCAUACGUCCUGAGCGCGAAAGUGUGGGAUCUCCGGACCUCACGCUAUCAGUUAAGCCUAGGUCGGAUGAGCUAGUUAUUGGGGUAAAGGCCUACCAAGGCGACAAUCCGUAACUGGUCUGAAAGGGUGAUCAGGCACACUGGAACUGAGACACGGUCGAGACUCCUACGGGAGGCAGCAGUGGGGAAUAUUGGACAAUGGGGGAGAGCCUGAUCCAGCCAUGCGGGGGGUGGGAAGAAGGUCUUCGGAUGGUAAAGCACUUUAAGUUGGGAGGAAGGGCAGUAAGUUAAUACCGUGCUGUUUUGACGGUACCAACAGAAUAAGCACCGGCUAACUUCGUG
RNAcentral lists this ribosomal RNA (484 nucleotides) under uncultured bacterium. Its description in RNAcentral is "partial 16S ribosomal RNA". It matches the Rfam family "Bacterial small subunit ribosomal RNA", at positions 30 to 507 of the family's 1533-position model. The record is from RNAcentral.